Molecule: non-coding RNA, 73 nt
Organism: Trichonephila inaurata madagascariensis
Lineage: Eukaryota; Metazoa; Arthropoda; Arachnida; Araneae; Nephilidae
Source: the annotation of a GenBank genome assembly
GUGUCUGUAGAGCAAUGGAAAGUUCGUUGGACUUUUAAUCCAAAGGUUGUCGGUUCGAAUCCUACUUGGGAUA